CCUUGGAACAGGAGGUCAUGGAGGGUGAGAACCCCGUCUGUGACUCGGGCUCCUACGGCCUAGCGUCGCGGUCUCCAAGAGUCGGGUUGUUUGGGAAUGCAGCUCAAAAUGGGUGGUAAAUCUCAUCUAAAGCUAAAUAUUGGCGAGAGACCGAUAGCAAACAAGUAGAGUGAUCGAAAGAUGAAAAGCACUUUGAAAAGAGAGUGAAACAGUACGUGAAAUUGUUGAAAGGGAAGCGUUUGGCAUCAGCCCAUGGCCUCCGACGAUCAUCCGGGCCUCGUGUCCGGUGCACUUGUCGGGGGUCGGGCCAGCAUCGGCUUCGUCCGCCGGAGAAAGGCCCAGAGGAUGUGGCUCCCCUCGUGGGAGCGUUAUAACUCUGGACGUCAUACGACGUGACGGGGCCGAGGUCCACGGUGUUCUCACCCAGGAUGCUGGCGUAAUGGUUCCAAGCGACCCGUCUUGAAACACGGACCAAGGAGUCUAACAUCUAUGCGAGUGUUUGGGUGUCAAGCCCGUCCGCGCAAUGAAAGUGAAUGCAGGCGGGAGCCUUUAGA
Molecule: ribosomal RNA, 554 nt
Filed under: uncultured Archaeorhizomycetes
Lineage: Eukaryota; Fungi; Ascomycota; Archaeorhizomycetes
Description: eukaryotic LSU rRNA
Rfam family: Eukaryotic large subunit ribosomal RNA
Source: RNAcentral